Molecule: transfer-messenger RNA, 375 nt
Filed under: Rhodoglobus vestalii
Lineage: Bacteria; Bacillati; Actinomycetota; Actinomycetes; Micrococcales; Microbacteriaceae
Description: Standard tmRNA
Rfam family: transfer-messenger RNA
About the family: Bacterial tmRNA, also known as 10Sa RNA or SsrA, is named for its dual tRNA and mRNA-like properties.
Source: Rfam by way of RNAcentral
GGGGAUGAUCGGUUUCGACAUUGCCUGCAAAACGAUGAGAAGCGGGUCGAGAAUGCAGCCUUAUCUCGUUAACGAUGACUGCAAACUAUAAGUGCCAAUUCAAAGCGCACUGACUUCGCCCUCGCUGCCUAAGCGAGCGCACUAAAGAAGUCCGUCAGAUCGGGAAUGCUCUCUACCCGAAUCCUGGCGCAAUUUAGAGAGAUUGCUGCGUAGUUACGCCUGAGGGCUACGUGGGACUUGCACUCUGGCUGGGCUUGUUGAUCUAGGUGCUUGUGGCAAAGAUCAGAGCCGAGUAGAACGUCUGCACAAGCUACACCCGUAGAAGGCAUGGAAUUACAGCAGUGGACGGGGGUUCAAUUCCCCCCAUCUCCACCA